UGCCGUUUAUUCAUUCUCGUUUCGAACGUCAUCGGGUUUACAUGGCGGAAUAGAACAUUGGGUUUUCAGAGUGCAGUGCCAGCAGCCGUAAGGGAAUGCUCGUAUAUGCCUCUGCAAUUAACACUAAAACUACCAGAGGGGUCAAAUGACCCAUGCCUGAUGUCUUCUUUUCGCAAUUAUUAGAAAGCGGAGACUGUACGAAUGUAAUUACCACAAGUAAUUACGCACGGUUCGAACGUAUCAUCAAACUUUACGACGCGAUGCCCGUUCGUAACGUCGUGCGGACGUUUUACUCCGCUUGGAAUUACACACGUCUGACUCCUAUUCGGAAUUUUGGGGAUGGCGAUGACGACGACGCCGACUUCGAAGGCACGACGCAUUCGGUCCGCGUGCCCCGCUCCGGGGAUAUUGAAGAUUCCUCGAAUGCCGCGACGGUGAGGGUCAAUAUCGAGGGUAUGCGGUGUCAGAGUUGCGUGAAGAACAUCGAGGGAACGGUGGCCGGCCGACCCGAGGUCCUCGCCGUGAAAGUCCUGCUGGAGGAGAAGACCGCCUACAUCGACUACAAGCCAGACGAGAUUACUCCCGCCGAACUGCUCGAAGCCAUAGAGGACAUGGGGUUCGUCGCGUCGCUAUCGAAAGACCAGGCUGACCCUUCGAAGGAGGCCGACCUGCGAGCCGACCAGCUGGAACCGUCGGUCAGCGCUUGCAGCAUACACGUCGACGGCAUGACUUGCAUGUCCUGCGUGAAGACCAUUACGGGUGUUUUAUCGGAGAAGCCAGGGAUAAGCGAGGUGAACGUUAGUCUAGAAGACAAGGAAGCGAAGGUAGUCUACAACGGGAACGAUCUAACGGCGGAGCAAAUAGCUGAAUCCAUAGAAGACAUGGGCUUCAACGCGUUCGUGAAGGAAGUAAACGGCAGGGUCCUUGAAACCAAGCUGGACACGCCGUCGAAGAACAAUAAUGUAGCGAACGGAGAGGUCGCGCCGCAAAUGAACGGCGCUGGAGACGUGAAAAUAGAGUCCCAAGUAGCCAAAUGUUACCUGCAUAUCACGGGAAUGACCUGCGCUUCCUGUGUUGCUGCCAUAGAGAAACAUUGUAAAAAGUUGUACGGCGUGAACAGCAUCUUGGUGGCACUGAUGGCCGCCAAGGCGGAGAUCACGUAUGACCCGGAUAAAAUAAGGGCGGUCGACAUCGCCUCCAGCAUAUCCGAGUUGGGCUUCCCCACCACGCUGAUCGAGGAGCCGGGGAGCGGGGAGGGAGAGAUAGAACUGAAAAUCGCAGGGAUGACGUGCGCGUCGUGCGUCAAUAAAAUAGAAUCGACCGUGAAGAAGCUGGCUGGCGUUCAUUCGGCCGCGGUCGCGUUGGCCACUCAGCGAGGCAAAUUCAAGUUCGACGUGGAGAGAAUUGGCCUCAGGGACAUCGUCGAAUGCAUCAACCAGUUAGGCUUCACCGCGACGGUAAUUAGCAAUAAAGACAAGGAGAACCGAGACUAUUUGGAUCAGAGAGAAGAGAUAAAGAAAUGGCGAACGGCAUUCUUGGUGUCUCUGAUAUUCGGCAUACCGUGCAUGCUGGCCAUGACGUACUUCAUGGUGGUUAUGUCCGUUGGCGAGAAGUCGCACGAGGACAUGUGCUGCGUGGUACCUGGUCUCUCCUGGGAGAACUUACUACUUUUUAUAUUUUCUACACCGGUGCAGUUCUUUGGCGGUUGGCACUUUUACGUCCAAGCGUACAAAGCUCUGAAACAUGGCUCGACAAACAUGGACGUCCUGAUUUCGAUGACCACCACGAUAUCUUACUUGUACUCGGUGGCGGUGCUCGCUGCGGCCAUGAUAAUGCAAGCGCACGUUAGUCCUUUAACGUUUUUCGACACUCCGCCGAUGUUGCUGGUCUUCAUCAGUUUAGGAAGAUGGCUGGAGCACGUUGCAAAGGGCAAGACCUCAGAAGCAUUGUCAAAGUUAUUGUCCCUGAAAGCAACGGACGCAGUCUUAGUCACUUUAGGUCCCAACAAUGAAAUACUGUCCGAACGAUUGAUCAAUAUAGAUCUGGUGCAGCGUGGGGACGUGUUAAAAGUAUUUCAAGGUGCUAAGGUACCGGUGGAUGGUAGGGUGCUCUCGGGACAUUCGACGUGCGACGAGAGUCUGAUCACCGGAGAAAGUAUGCCGGUACCGAAAAAGAAGGGCUCGGUGGUGAUCGGUGGCUCGAUCAAUCAGAACGGUCCGUUAUUGAUCACCGCGACGCAUACGGGCGAGCACACGACGCUCGCACAAAUCGUUCGUUUAGUCGAAGAAGCGCAAACGAAUAAAGCGCCUAUUCAGCACUUAGCCGAUAAGAUUGCAGGAUACUUCAUUCCCAUGGUGAUCGUUGUGUCCAUAGUGACUUUAAUUAUUUGGAUAAUAGUAGGGCAUGUAAAUAUAGACAAAUUGCCGAUUUCGCACAACGAUCAGAUCAAUAAACACGGCAUGAACAGAGAAGAGAUUAUAUUUCAGUACGCUUUCCGGAGCGCCCUGUCCGUGUUAGCGAUCGCCUGUCCAUGCGCGUUAGGUCUGGCCACACCGACCGCCGUUAUGGUCGGUACCGGAGUCGGAGCGCUGAACGGGAUUUUGAUCAAAGGUGCCGAACCCUUGGAAAAUGCGCACAAAGUCAAGUGCAUCGUGUUUGACAAAACGGGCACGAUAACGCACGGAGUGCCAAUGGUGACAAAAAUAGGUCUGUUUGUAGAUGAGAAAGUCUGUUCUUUAGCGAAAUUUUUAGUCAUCAUUUGCACGGCGGAGACUAACAGCGAGCACCCAAUCGCAUCUGCAAUCGUCCGUUACGUGAAAGGGACUGUCGGUUCCGAGUCAACCGGAAAGUGUUCGAAUUUCCAAGCGGUCGCUGGGUGCGGUCUCAAGUGCAAAGUGUCCCACAUAGAAAGCACUUUGGCCGAGGCUAUGAAGUCCGAGAAAAUCAUUAACUAUACGAAUCAUGCUAAGAAGUUGUCUUCCGGAACGUACAAUUUGAACGACGUGUCGAUUGACGCCGUGACAAUCGCCAGCGCCAGUCAAGAAAGGCAAAAUCUGAACUUGGAACUAUUGCUGAGUCCUGACUCCCACGGUGAUAAAGUCAACACCGAAGAUGCGUAUGAGAUAUGCAUUGGCAAUAGAGAGUGGAUGCGACGGAACGCUGUAAAUAUACCUCCAGAGGUAGACAUGCGAAUGACCGGCGAGGAAGACUUGGGUCACACGGCAGUUUUAGCUGCAGUGAAUAAUGUCUUAGUAGCAAUGAUCAGCGUGGCUGACACGGUCAAGCCGGAAGCACAUUUAGCAAUUUAUACACUGAAGAAAAUGGGUUUAGAAGUGAUACUUUUAACAGGGGAUAACAGGAAGACUGCUGCUUCUAUCGCUAGACAGGUUGGUAUCACCAGGGUAUUCGCGGAAGUGUUACCUUCGCACAAGGUUGCAAAAAUUCAACGACUGCAAGACCAAGGCUGGAGAGUCGCCAUGGUAGGGGAUGGCGUCAACGAUAGUCCUGCUCUUGCGCAAUCGGAUGUUGGUAUCGCGAUAGCUUCCGGUACAGACGUUGCCGUAGAAGCUGCUGAUGUAGUUCUCAUGCGAAACGAUCUUCUGGAUGUCAUUGCAUGCCUGGAUCUGUCGAGGAAAACGGUUCGUCGAAUAAGGCUGAAUUUCCUUUUCGCCAGUAUUUACAAUUUAUUAGGUAUCCCUAUAGCGGCUGGAAUAUUUAGUUCUUUUGGAUUCUUUUUACAACCCUGGAUGUCUUCAGCGGCCAUGGCUUUAAGUUCCGUGUCUGUAGUUGGAAGUUCUUUACUGUUAAAAUUGUAUCGUAAACCAACAAAAGCUAGUUUAGAAACCGCCGAAUAUUUAACAGCGGUACGCGCCCACACCACGGCAAGAAUGAUAGAUCUGGACGCGAUAUCACUUCACCGUGGUUUGGACGAUUCAGUAAUGCCGAUUAUGCAUAGAUCUACCUCGACGUUGUCCAGGUAUGCACAUACGACUACUAUGCUUUCAAAGUACGUGCGAAACUGUAAUAAUCCCACUGCUUGACGGAGUUACAGUAAAAUGAUUGUAACACCAAAGAACGUUGUUAUCUCUUUAAUUGUAACUAUAUAAUAAUAAGGUGUCGGCUUUCUUUGACCUUUCACGCUUGUUUUUUUUUCUUUAUUUGCAUUUUUAAUACUGUAGUGUACUAACAAAGGCCGGUAUAAAGUCGUUAAAGUCGCUAAUCAAAAAUUGUAUAUAAAAGUACUAACUUAAUUGUAAUGUAAUUAACAAUUUAAAGAGCAUAUUUCUAUGACUAUAAAAAAUUAGAAUGUCUCGCGGGCAAAUAAAACAGGCUGUGAACUUAAAAUUACUCUGCACAAGUAAUAUUCGUAAUGUAAUAUAAAUAUACUAAAUAACAAGACUGAAUAAAAAAAAUUGAAUCAGAGAGAGAAUAUGUUAAAAUGUAGUACAACUGUUUAAGAAUUGUAAGUAAUUUGCAGGAAAGAUUUAUGCAAUAGUGUUUUGAAUCUUAACAAAUUGUAAAUAUUGUACUAAAUGUAAAUAGGUACUGUGAUAUUAAAGAAAAGACGGGUACUCUUAUUAGUAUUGUACAACUGUUUCAAUUAUUGUAUGAAGAGAUUUUGUAAAUAAAUACUGACAAUUUUUUAAUGGAUACAUUCUGCGCUAGACGUACUACCUCAUCCUCGAAGAAAGCUUUCCCUGAUUAUUGGUUUGUAUACUCUUUUGCAUGUUUAUGCAAUAUUUAUUUUCGUUCACAUAUAUGUGUUGAUUUGACAUUUUUUUUCAAACUUCAUAAUGCUACAGCAAUAGUUAUGAAGAUGCAGUUUAUAUAUUUCUCAACAUAUUGUAAAAAAAGUUCUCCUUGUUUACAGUAUUUUCUUUAUUUUCUUUAUUUUAACAGUGUAUUUGCUUUAAUUUGCUUCCAGUAGCUUCAAGUAGUAUUGAUGUGUAAAGUGGGCUGUAACUAAUUCAGCUAUUAAUUUCGUAGCUAAUACAAUCUAGAAAAAUAUAUUACUUCUAAUAACAACUUUUGUGUUAAACAAGGUUAUUCAGAAGAUCAAAAGACGACAUUGAGGGUCGACUUCUCGGUGAGGAUAUAGACGAAAUUGAUUUAGUAUCGGAUUUUUCCGGUUAUCGCAAAACCGUAAAGGACCAUACAAACAUAACUCCUUUAUAAUUUGUAAGAAUAUAUUUUUUUUUAUUUUUAACUUAUACAGACGUACAUUCUUCGCUAAUAAUGCGAUGAUUUAAAUCGUAACAAAAUUAACAUGUUUAAAAACAGAAUUUUUCUAACAUUGAAGAUAAAAGAUACAGGGGUGUUAUGAAACAGAAGAAUGGUACUUGCAUACAGUAAUAAUCCAUCCCUUUCUACGUGAAUUACAUUAUUAGUAUUGUGAUAUUUAUGUUUAUAGUUAUUUAGAAAGACAUGUCUGAUAAUAUUUUCUUUUACAAUACCUUUUUUACUUAAUGCAUUUUACGCUAAGAAUGCAGUCACUAAUUUAUAAAAAUGAGAAUGCCUUGUUAUAUUUAAAUACAAAAGAAAGUAUCAUAAAUAUUGUUAUUCUGAUAAAAAGUUUAUGAGGGACCAUGGUUUGGUUCAAAUAUAUGUACAAGACUUAAAACACACUGACAGUUUACCGCAACAGAAUAUACAUUUUUAUGUUGAAAAACAUACUUUUUAUAAGUACAUAAUAGCAGAUAUUUUAUAUUUACCUAAAUUCUAGUUCAAAAUUUUAAGUAUAUUAUAUUAUGCGGUAUUUACAAGUAAAAAUUAUAGACUGACAAAUCUGUUUUCAUAAUCAUGAUCAGCUGCACUUUUUAUCUGUCAUAAAUAAUUUUACAGUUAGAAGAUAAUUUUUAUGAGAAUGUUAACUAAUAUAUUUAUAAACUAAAACAUGUAAUUGUGUACAGCACCUUUUACAUACACAUGUUCAUUUGUUUUGUAUUAAAAAUGUAUAUUAAAAUAUUUUUAAAGUUUGCUAAAAGAAAAGAUUAAAUUUAUGUAUAUACUUAUAUUUUUUGUGCCACAUCUUUACUAUAAAGCUGUAUAUUAAUGUAUAGUAAAUAUUUUAUACAGACAGAUAUGAUAAACUUAUUUUAAUUAAUAUUAUCAUUUUUCACCUUUUGUGAAAACCUUAAAAGAAUAAAAGCUCAAUACAAAAUACGAAUUUGAUAUAAACUCAAAUUACAAAUGUUAAAUAGUUACAAUACUAAGAUGCCUUAAAUAUAUUAAUCAACAAUACUUGUAGAAGAUGAAAGAAGUGAAUUUAUGUCGGGAAUAGAAUUAUCUGAUACAGAAGAUAAAUGUGAAGAGUUAGCAUAAAAAUUCUGUUUAAUGUGGGUACUAUUAUUAAUAGUAUCAUAAUCAUUAUUCAUCACAGGGUAUACAGUUUCAUGGACAUUUGUAUUGAAAAUAUUUUGUUCUUCUGCAUUUUUUGUACUGUAAUACCAUUCCAACUUAAUGAUUUCAGGAACAUGAAUUAAAUGUUCACUUUGACUUACUUGAUAAUUAUUAUUUCCUUCUGUUAAAGACAUACUGUUAUCCCACUUUUGUACAUGAAAAUCAGUAUACAUAUUUGGAUUCUGUGGUACAUCAAAAUGUAUUGGAGGAUAGUUUUCACUCUGCUGUGAAUUCUCAGUGAUGUCUACAAAAUUUUCAUAUUGGUAACUACGUUGUUCUUCUGGAUAAAUAUUUUCUGUAUUUGCCAUAUUUCUUGGAAAAUAAUCUCCUUGUAUAUUGGAUAUUUCAUUAAUGCAAAAGUUUGAUCUUGAUUCAUCAAUGUUUUGUGUAUUGUUGAAUAUGUUUCUGUUACCGAAUGAUUGUGUAUCACAAUCUGUAAGUGUAUGAUUAUAGUUUUUAAUGUCUAUACAACUUGAUUGAAUACAGUGGUAUUUAUCAUCACUUCUAUUGAUCGUUUUUUCUGAAUUAAUUUCUUGUUGUUCGUAUGAAUUACAUUCUAAGCUCUGCUGUGUUUGUAAACUGCAAUUUAUAUUGUUAAGUGUGUCCCAUUUGUUCUUUGAAAGGCUUUCAAAUGGAGGCAAACUUUUAUUUGGUUUAUAAUGACCAUCAUACUUGUAUUUCGUAAACAGUAUUCUUAAUUCAUCUUGUGUAAGUGUUGGGCAAUGUAAGAGUUGUUUUGAGAUUAAAUUUAAUUGUUCAAUUCGGUAAUCAUACAUUUCCACAUUCUGUUUCGAAGGCACAUUCAAAUUUUCAGAAUUUUGCUGAGAUUUCUUUGUAUCUUUUAGUUCUAAUAUUCGUUUUGUACUUUGUUUUUGGUAUUGCUGUGAUAAUUUACAUUUUUUGUUCUUUCUAAUGGACUGAAAAUAAAUAAUUUCCAUUACAUUUCUAACCACCGAAAUCGUCCACUUGUCAAGUAAUAUGUAUUUUUAUGUCUUACCAUGUUGUCAGUUGUGUCGGCAUUGUUAACAUUUUUGUUUUCAAUAGCUUGUAACGGUACUUUUGAUGGUCUCUUUCGUUUCAUCAUAUUGAUAUCUAAACUACGGAGAAAAUAA
Nomia melanderi (Alkali bee) is the source of this 7511-nucleotide non-coding RNA. The record is from RefSeq and is a predicted model, not a curated record. Lineage: Eukaryota; Metazoa; Arthropoda; Insecta; Hymenoptera; Halictidae.